RNAcentral lists this ribosomal RNA (445 nucleotides) under uncultured bacterium. Its description in RNAcentral is "bacterial SSU rRNA". It matches the Rfam family "Bacterial small subunit ribosomal RNA", at positions 331 to 792 of the family's 1533-position model. The record is from RNAcentral.
CCAGACUCCUACGGGAGGCAGCAGUGGGGGAUAUUGCACAAUGGGGGGAACCCUGAUGCAGCGACGCCGCGUGAGUGAAGAAGUAUUUCGGUAUGUAAAGCUCUAUCAGCAGGGAAGAAAAAAGACGGUACCUGACUAAGAAGCCCCGGCUAACUACGUGCCAGCAGCCGCGGUAAUACGUAGGGGGCAAGCGUUAUCCGGAUUUACUGGGUGUAAAGGGAGCGUAGACGGCAAUACAAGUCGGAAGUGAAAUACCCGGGCUCAACCUGGGAACUGCUUUGGAAACUGUAUGGCUAGAGUGCUGGAGAGGUAAGCGGAAUUCCUAGUGUAGCGGUGAAAUGCGUAGAUAUUAGGAGGAACACCAGUGGCGAAGGCGACUUUCUGGACUGUACCUGACGCUGAGGCGCGAAAGCGUGGGUAGCGAACGGGAUUAGAUACCCCGGUA